UUCCACAAUGGGCGCAAGCCUGAUGGAGCAACACCGCGUGAGUGAAGAAGGGUUUCGGCUCGUAAAGCUCUGUUGUUAAAGAAGAACACGUAUGAGAGUAACUGUUCAUACGUUGACGGUAUUUAACCAGAAAGUCACGGCUAACUACGUGCCAGCAGCCGCGGUAAUACGUAGGUGGCAAGCGUUAUCCGGAUUUAUUGGGCGUAAAGAGAGUGCAGGCGGUUUUCUAAGUCUGAUGUGAAAGCCUUCGGCUUAACCGGAGAAGUGCAUCGGAAACUGGAUAACUGAGUGCAGAAGAGG
This 300-nucleotide ribosomal RNA is filed under the name Limosilactobacillus fermentum. Its description in RNAcentral is "bacterial SSU rRNA". It matches the Rfam family "Bacterial small subunit ribosomal RNA", at positions 364 to 657 of the family's 1533-position model. The record is from RNAcentral. Lineage: Bacteria; Bacillati; Bacillota; Bacilli; Lactobacillales; Lactobacillaceae.